Sorghum bicolor (sorghum) is the source of this 2079-nucleotide long non-coding RNA. RefSeq lists it as uncharacterized. Lineage: Eukaryota; Viridiplantae; Streptophyta; Magnoliopsida; Poales; Poaceae. The transcript has 2 exons. The record is from RefSeq and is a predicted model, not a curated record.
UUUUAUUUGGACACGAAGAAGGAAAAGUUCAAUAGCCUCGCUGUUUUACAAAAAAAAACCCAUGAAAGCACUGCGGAGCGGACAGCCCAUGGCCAGCCCUACCGCAUCCUUCACUCCUUCGUCCCCAUCUGUUUCUCGAUCUCCCUCCUCUCUCCCUCCUUACCGCCGCUGCAGCCGCGCGCCUCCAUGCCCUCUCCUCCGUGCACCACCUCCAUGCCUCUCCCCUUUUUGCUUUGUCCUCGGUAUUAGCAGACCUUCUUCGCACGACGACUCGAUGAGGAGAGGGGAGAAAUCGAAGAGGAGGAGCCAUCCACGGAUACCACUCCCGAGGAACUCGCGCAUUCUUUGGAUCUAGGCGCCCACCGGAUAAAUCCAGCCUAUAUGACCAUUGUCCGCUGGUCUCCAGAAGGUACUCCCUAACACGAUGCUCGUGAUGCGCAGGCGGCGAGCUCCUGCAAGUAAGUGGGUAUGAGAUCGAGCUCCUUGAUUCGCCUUGUUCUAGAUUUCUGUUUUAUGUGUACGCUGGGAUCUGUGGCAGCUAGAUAUAAUUAGCGAUUUCCAUAUAUGAUGACAUAAUAUUUUGCAAUUUAUUUCACGCUGCUUCCUCUUUGGUUUGUUGUUGUUCUGGAUGGGGUCUCGUGCGUGCUCUUGAAUGGCACCUUGCAGAUUCAUCGUCGGGCGCCGGUGACAAACCUACGGAUGACGGGCAAGAAGACGUGCGACCGUACCAGUGAUUUUCAAGGUGCAACGGGCUUCAGCUUUCCUGUCCCCUAGCUGCUCCCACAAGCUGGUUGCUGUUGUGGUGCUUAGUUCCUUCUUCCUGAAAUAUGAAUUGCUUCUACGUGUUGGGGAGAUAAUAUGAACUGCAAAAUUAGUUUCAGAUUUAGUGAAUUUGUGCACCUAUGGAUGGCUAACUGCUUUAUUUAAAUUUUAGUAUAAUCAGACGAUGUGACUGAGUUGCUACUUGUAUCCAAAUUGCUUGCAAAUAUACUGUCAAUUAUCUUCUUUAGGUUGGGGUACUUGCUGAUCUGGAAAAGGCAUUAUGAUGGAUCAUAUGUUUGCAAUCCCUGUGAUAAUGGUGUUUAUUGAAGUUCUCUUUAUUUCAGAACUAGAUAGGUGGCGAUUUAAACUUCUCUGCUAUGUACUGUGCUGCAAGAGUGUGUGGCUUGGUGUAUUGUGCCUUCCCAAUGAGAGAUGGUGCUCUCUGAUGGUCAUCUUAAGACACUUUUCCAUGUAAAAAUGCUGACAAGUCAUGACCCUAGAAGUAUGGAAAUAGAACAUCGCUUUGUCUCAAAAACCAACAGACAUUGGAAAGUCCAUUUGUCAAGGCACUCAAUAUGAAGAAAAGCAUUACCAAGAACUGAAGGGGAGAAACACACCCUAAAGAACAUCAGGCUAUUUAUGGUGGUUGCCCAUGCCAAUAAUUUUGCAGAAACAGUAAUUUCUCUACCAAGGAAUUUUUUUUGUGCUUCAAUUGUUGCUCCGGUAUGUCAAACAACUUCUAGGUCAGGCUCAACAUGUCCAGUCUUUUGGUUAAAAAGUUUUGUGACUGCUUAACCCUCACCUUCCUAUAUUCAUAUUCGUGGAGAUGCUCUGUUUGCCAAUAUGUGUGAAGGUGUCAGGAGAGAUGAUUAGAGAUUCAGAUACUAAAGAUGUCAACUUUAACUAAAAUAUAGGUAGUUCCUCUUACAUUGAUUCAUUACUGUUACCAUUUAUUUGACAAUACAUAUAGUGCAGUGGCUGGAAAGGAACAGACUUGACUGUUGAACGAAGAGCUUGCUGCUACAUCCAACAAGAUCAAUCAAAUGAACAGAAAUACAGAUGUGUGCAUAGACAAUGCUGCUACCCAAGUGACAAAUAACAACCCUCUUAUAGAUACAAUAAUCAUAACUAUAGAUGCUGACCCAACGAUGAUAGUUAGAAACCGUGAAGGGCUAUAUGUACCAGUGUUUGCUUAUAAAGCAUUGUGUUCUUCACGACGUUGUAGGGCACCCAACGGGUGCAUAAUGUUAAAAGUUACUAUAGUUAUGGUUUUAUCACUCUCUGAGUGUACUUUUGUGAUCUCUUAUGUUUUGCUCA